Molecule: ribosomal RNA, 273 nt
Filed under: uncultured bacterium
Lineage: Bacteria
Description: partial 16S ribosomal RNA
Rfam family: Bacterial small subunit ribosomal RNA
Source: RNAcentral
GUCCUGGCCCUAAACGAUGCGCACUAGGUAGCGGGAGGUUCCGACUUCCCGCUGCCGGAAGUAAAAUCUUAAGUGCGCCGCCUGGGGAGUACGGCCGCAAAGGUUAAAACUCAAAGGAAUUGGACGGGGGCUCACACAAGCGGUGGAGGAUGUUGCUUAAUUCGAAGCAACGCGUAGAACCUUACCAGGACUUGACAUGCUGGUGGUAGGACCCGGAAACGGGAACGACUCUCCUUACGGAGAGAGCCAGCACAGGUGUUGCAUGGCUGUCGU